AUGCGUAGGGGGCGAGCGUUGUCCGGAAUGAUUGGGCGUAAAGGGCGCGUAGGCGGCCCGGUAAGUCUGGAGUGAAAGUCCUGUUUUUAAGAUGGGACUUGCUUUGGAUACUGUCGGGCUUGAGUGCAGGAGAGGUAAGUGGAAUUCCCAGUGUAGCGGUGAAAUGCGUAGAGAUUGGGAGGAACACCAGUGGCGAAGGCGACUUACUGGACUGUAACUGACGCUGAGGCGCGAAAGUGUGGGGAGCAAACAGGAUUAGAUACCCUGGUAGUCCACACUGUAAACGAUGAAUGCUAGGUGUAGGGGGUAUCGACCCCUUCUGUGCCGCAGUCAACACAAUAAGCAUUCCGCCUGGGGAGUACGGCCGCAAGGUUGAAACUCAAAGGAAUUGACGGGG
RNAcentral lists this ribosomal RNA (397 nucleotides) under uncultured bacterium. Its description in RNAcentral is "partial 16S ribosomal RNA". It matches the Rfam family "Bacterial small subunit ribosomal RNA", at positions 523 to 918 of the family's 1533-position model. The record is from RNAcentral.